This 774-nucleotide ribosomal RNA is filed under the name uncultured Neocallimastigales. RNAcentral describes it as "partial large subunit ribosomal RNA". It matches the Rfam family "Eukaryotic large subunit ribosomal RNA", at positions 24 to 649 of the family's 3401-position model. Lineage: Eukaryota; Fungi; Neocallimastigomycota; Neocallimastigomycetes; Neocallimastigales. The record is from RNAcentral.
UAUGUGAUCGUCUCUCGCAUAUCAAUAAGCGGAGGAAAAGAAACUAACAAGGAUUCCCCUAGUAACGGCGAGUGAAGCGGGAAGAGCUCAAAUUUGAAAUCUUAAAGGGUUUCCCUUUACGAAUUGUAGUUUAAAGAAGUGUUUUCUGUUGAGGUUUUGGUAAAAGUUCUUUGGAAUAGGACAUCAUAGAGGGUGAGAAUCCCGUAUUUGACCUUUACUUUCAACUUUGUGAUACACUUUCAAAGAGUCGGAUUGUUUGGGAAUGCAGUCCAAAAUGGGUGGUAAAUUUCAUCUAAAGCUAAAUAUUGGCGAGAGACCGAUAGCGAACAAGUACCGUGAGGGAAAGAUGAAAAGAACUUUGAAAAGAGAGUUAAACAGUACGUGAAAUUGUCAAAAGGGAAGCGUUUGACACCAGUGUUGUUUUUCUGAAAAUCAAUUAAAGAACUGUUUAUGCUAAGCUGUUUAGACUUUAUCAGCUAUCUGUUUAGUUUUGAGCUUUUCUUUAAUGCACUUUUCAGUUAACAAGUCAACAUCAAUUUCUUUUGCUGUAAAAAAGCUUGAGGAAGGUGGCUUGAGAUUCGUCUUAAGUGUUUAUAGCCUCUUGCCUAUGCAGUCGGAGAGAUUGAGGUCUGCAGCGUAGAUCCUUCGGGGCUAAAUGCAUUUGUGCUAAGUUAUAGCAUUUUAUAGACAACUUGUUGACUAUGAUUUGUCUUGUAGCUUACUCGCUUAUGUUAUUUUACCUACGCUUAGGAUGUUGAGUAGCGACAUACGCAC